Molecule: ribosomal RNA, 1053 nt
Filed under: Vibrio vulnificus
Lineage: Bacteria; Pseudomonadati; Pseudomonadota; Gammaproteobacteria; Vibrionales; Vibrionaceae
Description: bacterial SSU rRNA
Rfam family: Bacterial small subunit ribosomal RNA
Source: RNAcentral
GCACCGGCUAACUCCGUGCCAGCAGCCGCGGUAAUACGGAGGGUGCGAGCGUUAAUCGGAAUUACUGGGCGUAAAGCGCAUGCAGGUGGUUUGUUAAGUCAGAUGUGAAAGCCCGGGGCUCAACCUCGGAACUGCAUUUGAAACUGGCAGACUAGAGUACUGUAGAGGGGGGUAGAAUUUCAGGUGUAGCGGUGAAAUGCGUAGAGAUCUGAAGGAAUACCGGUGGCGAAGGCGGCCCCCUGGACAGAUACUGACACUCAGAUGCGAAAGCGUGGGGAGCAAACAGGAUUAGAUACCCUGGUAGUCCACGCUGUAAACGAUGUCUACUUGGAGGUUGUGGCCUUGAGCCGUGGCUUUCGGAGCUAACGCGUUAAGUAGACCGCCUGGGGAGUACGGUCGCAAGAUUAAAACUCAAAUGAAUUGACGGGGGCCCGCACAAGCGGUGGAGCAUGUGGUUUAAUUCGAUGCAACGCGAAGAACCUUACCUACUCUUGACAUCCAGAGAAUCUAGCGGAGACGCUGGAGUGCCUUCGGGAACUCUGAGACAGGUGCUGCAUGGCUGUCGUCAGCUCGUGUUGUGAAAUGUUGGGUUAAGUCCCGCAACGAGCGCAACCCUUAUCCUUGUUUGCCAGCGAGUAAUGUCGGGAACUCCAGGGAGACUGCCGGUGAUAAACCGGAGGAAGGUGGGGACGACGUCAAGUCAUCAUGGCCCUUACGAGUAGGGCUACACACGUGCUACAAUGGCGCAUACAGAGGGCGGCCAACUUGCGAAAGUGAGCGAAUCCCAAAAAGUGCGUCGUAGUCCGGAUUGGAGUCUGCAACUCGACUCCAUGAAGUCGGAAUCGCUAGUAAUCGUGGAUCAGAAUGCCACGGUGAAUACGUUCCCGGGCCUUGUACACACCGCCCGUCACACCAUGGGAGUGGGCUGCAAAAGAAGUGGGUAGUUUAACCUUCGGGAGGACGCUCACCACUUUGUGGUUCAUGACUGGGGUGAAGUCGUAACAAGGUAGCGCUAGGGGAACCUGGCGCUGGAUCACCUCCUUAUACGAUGAU